AACGUAGGUGGCAAGCGUUAUCCGGAAUUACUGGGCGUAAAGGGUGUGCAGGCGGGGUGGCAAGUGGUGUAUGAAAUAUCCCAGCUUAACUGGGAGGGGUUAUGCCAGACUGCUACUCUAGAGGACGAGAGAGGGGCGUGGAAUUCCCGGUGUAGCGGUGAAAUGCGCAGAUAUCGGGAGGAACACCAAUGGCGAAGGCAGCUCGCUGGGACGGUACUGACGCUGAGACGCGAAAGCGUGGGGAGCGAACAGG
Molecule: ribosomal RNA, 253 nt
Filed under: uncultured bacterium
Lineage: Bacteria
Description: partial 16S ribosomal RNA
Rfam family: Bacterial small subunit ribosomal RNA
Source: RNAcentral